RNAcentral lists this ribosomal RNA (253 nucleotides) under uncultured bacterium. Its description in RNAcentral is "partial 16S ribosomal RNA". It matches the Rfam family "Bacterial small subunit ribosomal RNA", at positions 524 to 776 of the family's 1533-position model. The record is from RNAcentral.
UACAGAGGUCUCAAGCGUUGUUCGGAUUCAUUGGGCGUAAAGGGUGCAUAGGUGGCGGGGUUAGUCAGGUGUGAAAUCUCGGAGCUCAACUCCGAAACUGCACUUGAUACUGCCUUGCUAGAGUACUGGAGAGGAGAUUGGAAUUUACGGUGUAGCAGUGAAAUGCGUAGAUAUCGUAAGGAAGACCAGUGGCGAAGGCGAAUCUCUGGACAGUUACUGACACUGAGGCACGAAGGCCAGGGGAGCAAACGGG